CCUACGGGAGGCAGCAGUGAGGAAUAUUGGUCAAUGGACGAGAGUCUGAACCAGCCAAGUAGCGUGAAGGAUGACUGCCCUAUGGGUUGUAAACUUCUUUUAUAUGGGAAUAAAAUGUUCCACGUGUGGGAUUUUGUAUGUACCAUAUGAAUAAGGAUCGGCUAACUCCGUGCCAGCAGCCGCGGUAAUACGGAGGAUCCGAGCGUUAUCCGGAUUUAUUGGGUUUAAAGGGAGCGUAGGUGGAUUGUUAAGUCAGUUGUGAAAGUUUGCGGAUCAACCGUAAAAUUGCAGUUGAAACUGGCAGUCUUGAGUACAGUAGAGGUGGGCGGAAUGCGUGGUGUAGCGGUGAAAUGCUUAGAUAUCACGAAGAACUCCGAUUGCGAAGGCAGUUCACUGGACUGCAACUGACACUGAGGCUCGAAAGUGUGGGUAUCAAACAGGAUUAGAUACCCCAGUAGUC
RNAcentral lists this ribosomal RNA (460 nucleotides) under uncultured bacterium. Its description in RNAcentral is "partial 16S ribosomal RNA". It matches the Rfam family "Bacterial small subunit ribosomal RNA", at positions 338 to 795 of the family's 1533-position model. The record is from RNAcentral.